This 301-nucleotide ribosomal RNA is filed under the name uncultured bacterium. Its description in RNAcentral is "partial 16S ribosomal RNA". It matches the Rfam family "Bacterial small subunit ribosomal RNA", at positions 509 to 807 of the family's 1533-position model. The record is from RNAcentral.
CAGCCGCCGCGGGAAUACGAAGGGUGCAAGCGUUACUCGGAAUUACUGGGCGUAAAGCGUGCGUAGGUGGUGGUUUAAGUCCGUUGUGAAAGCCCUGGGCUCAACCUGGGAAUUGCAGUGGAUACUGGGUCACUAGAGUGUGGUAGAGGAUAGUGGAAUUUCCGGUGUAGCAGUGAAAUGCGUAGAGAUCGGAAGGAACAUCUGUGGCGAAGGCGACUAUCUGGGCCAACACUGACACUGAGGCACGAAAGCGUGGGGAGCAAACAGGAUUAGAUACCCGAGUAGUCCCUGUCUCUUAUAC